Molecule: long non-coding RNA, 497 nt
Filed under: Bos taurus (domestic cattle)
Lineage: Eukaryota; Metazoa; Chordata; Mammalia; Artiodactyla; Bovidae
Description: long non-coding RNA NONBTAT019198
Source: RNAcentral
UUGUCUGUGUGAGUUAGAGGUCCAUAUGAGAUAAUGGUAGUACCAGUUUUGUAUUUCUACAGUAUUUUGUAUUUUAUUGUUUCACUGAUAUUCACAGUCUUGUCAGAUAGGCAGAGUGAACAGUGAUUGUUCUGGCAUUUUUCAGACACAAGAGUUCUACAAGCUAAAUGUUCACACCAUGGGAAGUGUUAUUCAUGUUACAGAUAAGACCCUUAUUGAUGAUUUUGUAGAAGGCAAAUAACCUAGAAAUGCCAUAUGAAAUAUUUAAGUUUGAAGAUGAUAGGGAUAUUUAAUAUCGGUACUUCAGCAUUUUAUAUGCUAUCUCAACCUUUGUGUCUCACAAAUAAGUCUGUACGUUUGACAAAUAAGUUACAGAGAUGUCUUCUCAUGUUAAUUAAGUUACCUAUACCAGUCAGGAAUCUUAGUGACUUCUAUAAAAAUCUCUGUGUUCUAUUUAUGGAGAUGAUAAUUUCCUGUUGCCUAGUUUAAUGACUCUU